UACGUAGGGGACGAGCGUUGUCCGGAAUUAUUGGGCGUAAAGAGCGUGUAGGCGGCUCUGCAAGUCCUGCGUGAAAUCUCGAGGCUCAACCUCGAGCGGUCGUGGGAAACUGGAGGGCUAGAGUGCGGGAGAGGGAAGUGGAAUUCCAGGUGUAGCGGUGAAAUGCGCAGAUAUCUGGAAGAACACCCGUGGCGAAGGCGGCUUCCUGGAACGACACUGACGCUGAGACGCGAAAGCGUGGGGAGCAAACAGG
Molecule: ribosomal RNA, 253 nt
Filed under: uncultured bacterium
Lineage: Bacteria
Description: partial 16S ribosomal RNA
Rfam family: Bacterial small subunit ribosomal RNA
Source: RNAcentral